Molecule: ribosomal RNA, 465 nt
Filed under: uncultured bacterium
Lineage: Bacteria
Description: partial 16S ribosomal RNA
Rfam family: Bacterial small subunit ribosomal RNA
Source: RNAcentral
GACGAACGCUGGCGGCGUGCUUAACACAUGCAAGUCGAACGGUGAACUCCGCUUGCGGGGGGAUCAGUGGCGAACGGGUGAGUAACACGUGGGCAACCUGCCCUCCGCUCUGGGAUAACUCCAAUAACUUGGGGCUAAUACCGGAUAUGACCGCUGACCGCAUGGUCUGGUGGUGGUAAGAUUUAUCGGCUGGGGAUGGGCCCGCGGCCUAUCAGCUUGUUGGUGGGGUAGUGGCCUACCAAGGCGACGACGGGUAGCCGGCCUGAGAGGGUGACCGGCCACACUGGGACUGAGACACGGCCCAGACUCCUACGGGAGGCAGCAGUGGGGAAUAUUGCGCAAUGGGCGAAAGCCUGACGCAGCGACGCCGCGUGGGGGAUGAAGGCCUUCGGGUUGUAAACCUCUUUCAGCAGGGACGAAGCGAAAGUGACGGUACCUGCAGAAGAAGCACCGGCCAACUACGUG